CCAGAGUACCAUGGAUAGACUGAAUGAUCAUCCAAUGAUAGGUUUGAAAUGUAGAAGGUUCUAAUCAACCCUAAAUCAAACAUAUCAUGACAUAGGUGGAUUUCAUUAGUCCUUGAGUUCAAGACCUUAAAAUUCCAUCAAGAAUAAUCCAAAUAAAACAAAUGAAGUCACCAUUAAAUUCUAAAGGCAAAAAUAAUGGGGGUUGAUGUUCAACAUAUUUUCAAAAUAAUAAAAAUAAGAGGGUAAAAAAACUAAAAUCAAAAGGGAAAAUAAAAUAGGGAAA
Molecule: long non-coding RNA, 283 nt
Filed under: Lathyrus oleraceus (garden pea)
Lineage: Eukaryota; Viridiplantae; Streptophyta; Magnoliopsida; Fabales; Fabaceae
Description: Pisum sativum (pea) long non-coding RNA (PSAT_LNC015102)
Source: RNAcentral